Molecule: long non-coding RNA, 543 nt
Organism: Carassius gibelio (silver crucian carp)
Lineage: Eukaryota; Metazoa; Chordata; Actinopteri; Cypriniformes; Cyprinidae
Exons: 4
Source: RefSeq, a predicted model, not a curated record
UGAUGUCACUAGCAGGUGAGUAGAUGAUGCUGAUGUCACUAGCAGGUGUGUAGAUGAUGCUGAUGUCACUAGCAGGUGUGUAGAUGAUGCUGAUGUCACUAGCAGGUGUGUAGAUGAUGCUGAUGUCACUAGCAGGUGUGUAGAUGAUGCUGAUGUCACUAGCAGGUGAAGAGAAGCAUGAUGUCACUAGCAGGUGUGUAGAUGAUGCUGAUGUCACUAGCAGGUGAGGAGGAGCAUGAUGUCACUAGCAGGUGAAGAGAAGCAUGAUGUCACUAGCAGGUGUGUAGAUGAUGCUGAUGUCACUAGCAGGUGUGUAGAUGAUGCUGAUGUCACUGGCAGGUGAGGAGGAGCAUGAUGUCACUAGCAGGUGUGUAGAUGAUGCUGAUGUCACUAGCAGGUGUGUAGAUGAUGCUGACGUCACUAGCAGGUGUGUAGAUGAUGCUGAUGUCACUAGCAGGUGUGUAGAUGAUGCUGACGUCACUAGCAGGCGAGUAGAUGAUGCUGAUGUCACUAGCAGGUGAGUGGAUGAUGCUGAUGUCACUA